This 187-nucleotide microRNA precursor is filed under the name Oryza brachyantha (malo sina). RNAcentral's name for it is "MIR812 microRNA precursor family". It matches the Rfam family "MIR812 microRNA precursor family". The record is from Rfam by way of RNAcentral. Lineage: Eukaryota; Viridiplantae; Streptophyta; Magnoliopsida; Poales; Poaceae.
AAUAAAUCAAUUUUCACUUUUUAUCUUUAAUUUUUAACUCUUCGUCUUAUUAAAAAAAAUUUGUGAUUGAUAUUUUUGUUUUUAUUAGAUAAUAAAUAAUGAAUAGUAUUUUACGUGUGACUAAUUUUUUUUAAUUUCUUAAAAAAAUUCAAAUAAGACAGAUGGUCAAACGUUGGACACGAAAACC